Molecule: ribosomal RNA, 453 nt
Filed under: uncultured bacterium
Lineage: Bacteria
Description: bacterial SSU rRNA
Rfam family: Bacterial small subunit ribosomal RNA
Source: RNAcentral
UACGGAAGGCAGCAGUGGGGAAUAUUGCACAAUGGGCGAAAGCCUGAUGCAGCUAUGCCGCGUGUAUGAAGAAGGCCUUAGGGUUGUAAAGUACUUUCAUCGGGGAGGAAAAAACAAAACUAAUAAUUUUAUUUCUUGACGUUACCCGAAAAAGAAGCACCGGCUAACUCCGUGCCAGCAGCCGCGGUAAUACGGAGGGUGCUAGCGUUAAUCAGAAUUACUGGGCGUAAAGGGCACGCAGGCGGUUAAUUAAGUUGGAUGUGAAAUCCCCGGGCUUAACCUGGGAAUGGCAUUCAAGACUGGUUAGCUAGAGUCUUGUAGAGGGGGUAGAAUUCCAUGUGUAGCGGUGAAAUGCGUAGAGAUGUGGAGGAAUACCGGUGGCGAAGGCGGCCCCUGGGACAAAGACUGACGCUCAUGUGCGAAAGCGUGGGGAGCAAACAGGGAUUAGAUACC